GGCCGCCUCUUCUCCUCCACCUCUGUCUCCACCACCUCCUCCUCUCCUGCCUCCACACAGGCCAGGCUGUGAGCUUGGGCCGGUCGGAGAGCUGGUGGCCGGCGGCAAGGAGUGGAGGACAUGGCGGGGCGCGCAGCGGUGCGAAGAGGCAGAAGUCGCCGUCUCUGCUGGUCGACGAUGGAGAAACGGUCGCAACCGAGGAGGAUAGCCAUGGAGGGGAGGGCGUGGCCUCGAUCCGGAUGAGGGGAGCAGUAGCUGUGCCCCUCUUCUUCACGCGCAGUGGCCGGGGGCCUCGGCUAGGAGCUUCGCCCUCUUAUUCGUGCGCGGUGCAGCAGUGACCUGAGGACGAGUUCGAGGCAUAGUGGUGGUUCCAACACACGUCGCAGGGGGAGGCGGCGGUGCUUCCUUGCCUCGUCUGUUCCCCCACCCCCCUCCCGCAUCUCCUCUGCCAUGGGUGCGGAGGCGAGCUUCCCGGCGAUGGUGGCGGCACUGGAUUCGAUCUGCAGGAGAGAGAGGGAGGUGCGUCUUCGAAUGGGAGAGGGUCUCCGCCGGCGUCGGCCUGCACCGGCGACCUCGCCUUCCAGGGCGGCUUGACUACAGUCUACAGAUAGGAGAACAAAUAAAUAGGACCAAGAAAAUUAGUUGCUCGUAUAUUCAUGUGUCGCGGAGAGAAGUACCCGAUUGGAGAAAUUUGGUAUGCCGAGUAAUCUGCAGACCAUAUGCGGAGGC
Non-coding RNA from Triticum urartu, 729 nucleotides. NCBI's taxonomy places the organism in Eukaryota, Viridiplantae, Streptophyta, Magnoliopsida, Poales, Poaceae. The record is from RefSeq and is a predicted model, not a curated record.